GUGCUCGCUUCAGCAGCACAUAUACUGAAAUUGGAAUGAUACAGAGAAGAUUAGCAUGGCCCCUGUGCAAGGAUGACAUGCAAAUUCGUGAAGCGUGAAAAUAAAAA
Molecule: small nuclear RNA, 107 nt
Filed under: Propithecus coquereli (Coquerel's sifaka)
Lineage: Eukaryota; Metazoa; Chordata; Mammalia; Primates; Indriidae
Source: RNAcentral